This 301-nucleotide ribosomal RNA is filed under the name uncultured bacterium. RNAcentral describes it as "partial 16S ribosomal RNA". It matches the Rfam family "Bacterial small subunit ribosomal RNA", at positions 509 to 809 of the family's 1533-position model. The record is from RNAcentral.
CAGUCGCCGCGGUAAAACGGAGGGUGCAAGCGUUAUCCGGAUUUAUUGGGUUUAAAGGGUCCGUAGGCGGAUCUGUAAGUCAGUGGUGAAAUCUCACAGCUUAACUGUGAAACUGCCAUUGAUACUGCAGGUCUUGAGUAAAUUUGAAGUGGCUGGAAUAAGUAGUGUAGCGGUGAAAUGCAUAGAUAUUACUUAGAACACCAAUUGCGAAGGCAGGUCACUAAGAUUUAACUGACGCUGAUGGACGAAAGCGUGGGGAGCGAACAGGAUUAGAUACCCCAGUAGUCCCUGUCUCUUAUAU